This is a long non-coding RNA of Mauremys reevesii (Reeves's turtle), 979 nucleotides long. RefSeq lists it as uncharacterized. The record is from RefSeq and is a predicted model, not a curated record. Lineage: Eukaryota; Metazoa; Chordata; Testudines; Geoemydidae. The transcript is spliced from 3 exons.
GGCACUCCUUGGGCCUGCCCCAGGCUUGUCUGGAGAAUACUGGGAAAUAAACCUCCAAAUGGGAGAGUGAACGCUGUCCAGAGUGGGGACUGACUGACUCUAGGCCCUAUCCCCAGAGGGGAAGCUCUGAGCCUGCCAAGACAGAGGAGGUGCAUCUGUAAUGACACCUUUUAGAUACAAAGUUAUGACAUUAGAGAGUUGGGGUACACUGAACUGGUCAGGCCAGCUGAAACUCACUACUAGAUACUAGUGAGUCUCUUGACCUAUUGCAAAGAGUUGCAGUAGUACAGUAAAAAAAUGAGUACAGGGUAACAUCAUCAUUUAUUCAGUUUAAUAAUAAAUUAGAUAUUUCUCCUUUCAGUGUUAGUUGUCCAGGAAGUCAUCAGUAACACAGUUUGAUCGAGGUCUGCUGUGUCGGCUAUCUGCACAGAGCUGGGACAGCCUACUGAAAGAACACACAUGCAGCAAACAUCUGACUACAACUAGAACGAGGCAACCAAGAAUUUUGGUAAGAAUAUAAAUCAGCAGGUUUUCGGCAUAAGCCAGCCACUAACUAAUGAGGAUUAGGAAGAAGCUUUCCUUGUGCUAUUCAAUAACUGCCUACUACAGAGUUCCCUGCAUCUUCUCUGAAGCAGCUUGUACUGGCCACUGUUGGAGACAGGAUGCUGGACUAGAAGAACCACUGAUUCAAUCCAGUGUGGCAAUUGUUACUGUCCAUAAACCCUUACUGUGUUAGUGUUCAUUGAAUUUAUUUUACAAUGAGGCAAAAUGGUAUCAAGUUGAGUACAUAAAUCCUGUGAAUGUUCCCUCAAACGUUUACUAAGACUAUGAUGAUGUCCACAUAUGCAUCAAUAUGUUGUAUAAGAACAGGAGUAAACCUGUUCAACAGAUAAAUUUACUCCAUCUCAGUCUCCGCAAAUUCUGUUUUCUGUUAUAAAAUCCAGCUGUGCCUUGGUGAUGUAUUAUAAUAGUAUAUCAU